Oxyura jamaicensis (ruddy duck) is the source of this 157-nucleotide long non-coding RNA. RefSeq lists it as uncharacterized. NCBI's taxonomy places the organism in Eukaryota, Metazoa, Chordata, Aves, Anseriformes, Anatidae. The transcript is spliced from 3 exons. The record is from RefSeq and is a predicted model, not a curated record.
CAGAAUUACACAGAAAAAAGCCACCUAAUAUCUCAACUUAGCAGCCAAACUCAAAACUGAAUAUAAUCAGUUGUUAUAUUUCAGCUACUUCACAAUAAAUUUAGAUUUCUAAAGAUAGUAAUAGUAUAUGUAUUUAAUAUAUAUACUUGUACCAUCU